GAUGAACGCUGGCGGCGUGCUUAACACAUGCAAGUCGAACGAAGCACUUUAUUUGAUUUCCUUCGGGACUGAUUAUUUUGUGACUGAGUGGCGGACGGGUGAGUAACGCGUGGGUAACCUGCCUUGUACAGGGGGAUAACAGUUGGAAACGGCUGCUAAUACCGCAUAAGCGCACGGCAUCGCAUGAUGCAGUGUGAAAAACUCCGGUGGUAUAAGAUGGACCCGCGUUGGAUUAGCUAGUUGGUGAGGUAACGGCCCACCAAGGCGACGAUCCAUAGCCGACCUGAGAGGGUGACCGGCCACAUUGGAACUGAGACACGGUCCAAACUCCUACGGGAGGCAGCAGUGGGGAAUAUUGCACAAUGGGCGAAAGCCUGAUGCAGCAACGCCGCGUGAGCGAUGAAGGCCUUCGGGUCGUAAAGCUCUGUCCUCAAGGAAGAUAAUGACGGU
RNAcentral lists this ribosomal RNA (450 nucleotides) under uncultured bacterium. RNAcentral's name for it is "bacterial SSU rRNA". It matches the Rfam family "Bacterial small subunit ribosomal RNA", at positions 28 to 458 of the family's 1533-position model. The record is from RNAcentral.